This is a non-coding RNA of Prunus avium (sweet cherry), 435 nucleotides long. Lineage: Eukaryota; Viridiplantae; Streptophyta; Magnoliopsida; Rosales; Rosaceae. The record is from RefSeq and is a predicted model, not a curated record.
AUUCAUAGACCCCAAAUCCCACCGUAACAAAGAUGAUAACGCUCUUGGAUUUUUGAAAGGACCGGCGAUGUUCAUGAUAACUGACAGUCUCAAUGUUAGUCCGAUCUCUGCAAUUCUUGGCCUGUCAAUUUUAUGCGAAUUGAACGUACCUGUCACUGACAUUGAGGUACAAGUUGCUCAAGUGGGCAACAAGGAGGCACUCCGUCUUCUGGUGGCUUCUUUUGUUUGUGACUCUGCUCUAACCAGUGUCUUCCUUAGGAAGCCAAAUCGAGGAUUUGGAUGCCUUAGUUUUCUAAUUUAAGAAGAGGAUGUAUUUUCUGUUGCAGAUUAAUUGAUUUUCUACUUUAUGUAUUGUUCUCUGCACUAUUGUAUGUUUUGUGUUAUACAACUUGAAACGCUUAUAAUUAUUGGAUUGCUGUGAGAUAUUGCUUUGUA